UGACCGGCCACAUUGGGACUGAGACACGGCCCAAACUCCUACGGGAGGCGCAGUGUGGAAUAUUGCACAAUGGGGGAAACCCUGAUGCAGAGACGCCGUGUGAGCGAAGAAAUAUUGCUGUAUGUAAAGCUCUAUCAACAGGGUAGAAAAUGACGGUACCUGACUAAGAAGCACCGGCUAAAUACGUGCCAGCAGCCGCGGUAAU
Molecule: ribosomal RNA, 205 nt
Filed under: uncultured Lachnospiraceae bacterium
Lineage: Bacteria; Bacillati; Bacillota; Clostridia; Lachnospirales; Lachnospiraceae
Description: partial 16S ribosomal RNA
Rfam family: Bacterial small subunit ribosomal RNA
Source: RNAcentral